UAAGACCUGCGAAAUAUUACAACGCAACCUCUGAAUGCAACUCAGAUACUUUAAUUAAGCUAAAGCCUC
RNAcentral lists this transfer RNA (69 nucleotides) under Uranoscodon superciliosus. RNAcentral describes it as "tRNA-Ala". Lineage: Eukaryota; Metazoa; Chordata; Lepidosauria; Squamata; Tropiduridae. The record is from RNAcentral.